GGUCCUCUUCUCCUUAGAUGACAUCAAACUCCACAGUCAUUCCAUAUCCUACCCAGCAAAGCCAAAUCUAGCUCAUCUGAACCAUUGCCCUCCGGUUAUAAGGGAGGAAAGAGAGAAUGACUCAGCUCAAAGAAAAUGCUUAGAUAUGGAUACAGCCUGCUACUUCUCAUGUAAGUCUUCAAAAUCCAGCAUGUAUUUUACAUUUAUGGUCCAUCCCCAGUACUCUAGCCUCCUUUCAAAUGAACAAUAGCCACAUGGGGCUGGUGGCUUCCACAUGGGACAGGAUGGGUCUAGACUGCAUUUCUUCAUUUAUAACAAAGCUGCAUUUCCCUCUUUGGAGUUUGUAGG
Long non-coding RNA from Symphalangus syndactylus (siamang), 348 nucleotides. RefSeq lists it as uncharacterized. The record is from RefSeq and is a predicted model, not a curated record. NCBI's taxonomy places the organism in Eukaryota, Metazoa, Chordata, Mammalia, Primates, Hylobatidae.